GACGAACGCUGGCGGCGUGCUUAACACAUGCAAGUGGAGCGACGAACCAGGCUUCGGCCUGGGGCAGAGCCGCGAACGGGUGAGUAACACGUGGGUAACCUGCCCCGAUGACUGGGACAACCCGAGGAAACUCGGGCUAAUACCGGAUGUGCUGCUCUCGCUCAAGUGAGAGUAGGAAAGGAAGCUUCGGCCUCCGCAUCGGGAUGGGCCCGCGGCCCAUUAGCUGUUGGUGAGGUAACGGCUCACCAAGGCUUCGAUGGGUAGCUGGUCUGAGAGGACGAUCAGCCACACUGGGACUGAGACACGGCCCAGACUCCUACGGGAGGCAGCAGUGGGGAAUCUUGCGCAAUGCGACG
This 356-nucleotide ribosomal RNA is filed under the name uncultured bacterium. Its description in RNAcentral is "bacterial SSU rRNA". It matches the Rfam family "Bacterial small subunit ribosomal RNA", at positions 28 to 378 of the family's 1533-position model. The record is from RNAcentral.